CGCGACCUUCGGUCAGGGGGGGGCUAACCGCUGAGUUUAAGCAU
RNAcentral lists this ribosomal RNA (44 nucleotides) under Vachellia sphaerocephala. Its description in RNAcentral is "partial large subunit ribosomal RNA". The record is from RNAcentral. Lineage: Eukaryota; Viridiplantae; Streptophyta; Magnoliopsida; Fabales; Fabaceae.